AGUGAACGCUAGCGGUAGGCCUAACACAUGCAAGUCGAACGGCAGCACAGUAAGAGCUUGCUCUUACGGGUGGCGGGUGGCGGACGGGUGAGGAAUACAUCGGAAUCUACUUUUUCGUGGGGGAUAACGUAGGGAAACUUACGCUAAUACCGCAUACGACCUACGGGUGAAAGCAGGGGAUCUUCGGACCUUGCGCGAUUGAAUGAGCCGAUGUCGGAUUAGCUAGUUGGCGGGGUAAAGGCCCACCAAGGCGACGAUCCGUAGCUGGUCUGAGAGGAUGAUCAGCCACACUGGAACUGAGACACGGUCCAGACUCCUACGGGAGGCAGCAGUGGGGAAUAUUGGACAAUGGGCGCAAGCCUGAUCCAGCCAUACCGCGUGGGUGAAGAAGGCCUUCGGGUUGUAAAGCCCUUUUGUUGGGAAAGAAAAGCAGCAGGUUAAUACCCCGCUGUUCUGACGGUACCCAAAGAAUAAGCACCGGCUAACUUCGUG
RNAcentral lists this ribosomal RNA (492 nucleotides) under uncultured bacterium. RNAcentral describes it as "partial 16S ribosomal RNA". It matches the Rfam family "Bacterial small subunit ribosomal RNA", at positions 29 to 507 of the family's 1533-position model. The record is from RNAcentral.